Pelobates cultripes (western spadefoot toad) is the source of this 233-nucleotide non-coding RNA. Lineage: Eukaryota; Metazoa; Chordata; Amphibia; Anura; Pelobatidae. The record is from the annotation of a GenBank genome assembly.
CAAAUGGGACCACUGUUGCGGGGUUCCAGGUGGAGCCGUGAGCCGGCGUAGUGCUGGUCUCCGAGGGGAGAUGAGAGACUGAGGGGAUUCCCAGUGUCGGUAGCAGUUCAUUUGCAAUGCGCUGCUCGUAGGUAAGGUGCUGUAGUUUGAGUUCUUGGACCGUUUGCUGCAGGAGUUGUGUUUGUUGCUUGGUGUACUGGGAGUCUGACUCCAGUGUGCCCAGGCGGCCCGUU